AAGGUUUCCGUAGGUGAACCUGCGGAAGGAUCAUUAAUGAAUAAACUUGCGUGAGUUGUUGCUGACCUCCUCGGAGGUAUGUGCACGCUUGCCAUCGUUUCAUUCCCUUCCCACCUGUGCACUUUUUGUAGACCCGGCCGUUGCCUUUCAGGUUGCUUGCGAGCAUUCUGGUUAUGAGGGCUUGCUCUGGCUGUCCUUGGAUGGUCGUGGUCUAUGUCUUUUGCCAACUCUGUAUGUAACCGAAUGUCUGUUCUGGGUUUUGCACCCAUACAAUCUAAUACAACUUUCAACAACGGAUCUCUUGGCUCUCGCAUCGAUGAAGAACGCAGCGAAAUGCGAUAAGUAAUGUGAAUUGCAGAAUUCAGUGAAUCAUCGAAUCUUUGAACGCACCUUGCGCUCCUUGGUAUUCCGAGGAGCAUGCCUGUUUGAGUGUCAUUAAAUCCUCAACCUUACAUUCCUUGUGACCGUGAGGUUGGAUGUGGAAGUUUGCUGGCUUCACCGUCAGCUCUUCUGAAAUGCAUUAGCAGGGCUGCUGUAUUGUGAGGCUGUUGCUUGGUAUUGAUAGUUGUCUUACCAGGUGUCAGAGUUAGCAAUGCGCCCCAGCUUCCAGUCGUCCCUCUGGGACAACAAGUUGACGAUUUGACCUCAAAUCAGGUAGGACUACCCGCUGAA
Molecule: ribosomal RNA, 672 nt
Filed under: Pluteus sp. III AJ-2010
Lineage: Eukaryota; Fungi; Basidiomycota; Agaricomycetes; Agaricales; Pluteaceae
Description: eukaryotic LSU rRNA
Rfam family: 5.8S ribosomal RNA (bases 282-435)
Source: RNAcentral